Molecule: long non-coding RNA, 1037 nt
Filed under: Ananas comosus (pineapple)
Lineage: Eukaryota; Viridiplantae; Streptophyta; Magnoliopsida; Poales; Bromeliaceae
Description: long non-coding RNA (ACOM_LNC018178)
Source: RNAcentral
AAUCACUAGUGAAGGACCCGCGCGUUGCGGCGGGACGAUUCCGUAAAAAUAAAUAAAUAAAAAAAUAAAAAAAUCAAAGAAUUAUAUAAAAAAAUAACUGAGGGAUAAACAAAUAUUACUGCAAUAAAAAUAUAAAAAUAAUAGGGCAAAAACCAUAUGAAUAAUUGAUUAUAUUUAUAGCAGCAAUAAACGUUGAGUAAUAAAAUGAUAUAUCUCAUAUUUCAAGUAAGAAAUUACAACUAAUUAAAGUUUGAGGAUAAAAGCAUCACAUGCCUCAUAGUUUAAAUUAGAAAAAACUUUAAAAACCCCCCCUGUGGUUUCGUAGUUUUUCACUUUGCCCCCUUGUGGUUUAAAAUGUUCAAAUUGCCCUCUGUGGUUUCGUUUUUAUCUUUUCGGUAGCUUUUUCGUUAAUAUUUCAUUAAAUUAUAUACAAAAAACUUCUUAUACCUAUCUAGAUUUAUCAAAUAUUUACUUUAGUACCCUUUAAAUUAACUUUAUCACUGAUUUAAGAAAAAAAAAUAAUGAAAUUGAUAAGAAAAAGAGAAAAAAGAAACCACAGGGGGGCAAAUUGAUACAUUUUAAACCACAGGGGGGCAAAGUGAGAAACUACGAAACCACAAGGGGGUUUUUGAAGUUUUUCCUUUAAAUUAUAACACAUUAAAAUUCGAUGAUUAAAGUUUCACUCGUCUUAUAAUUUUAAAGACGAAAAGUAUAAAUAUAAUCUUUCAAAAUUUUACUUUUGUUGUCAAAUUUUUCUAUAUAUGAGAUUUCAGUCCAUCAAUAAUACUUUAACUCUCUCUCCUCUAGUGAUUUAGGGUUUGGCUUAGAUUUUUUUAAGAAAAAAAAUUCAAACCAAUUCUCCUCUCUCUCAUAGAAAAUUAAAAUUUAUAUUUAAUACAUACAAUUUAAACUAUUUAAAAAUACGAAUAUAUUUUAAAUUUUUAUAAUAAGGUAGAAAAAUUAUAUUAAAAAUUUUAAAAAGUUUGCUUUUCAAAAUUAAUAGAAAAAGAAUUAAAAAUAAAAAAGUUUAAAAAAAU